CAAAACAUACUUCGUGAAACCCUAUCACCAUCGAAGCCGUUCGCUUUCAUCACCAUAUUCGUUAACCCAUCCGACCAGAGCUUCAUCCUUUCACCGGUGAAACCCUAUCACCAUGUGAAACCCCUUUUCUCAAACGCUUCACCAUCGAUUCAUCUCUACUACGUUCAUCCAUCACCAACUUCCAGCCUUUGAAAUUAAACAAACACACACAUUCAGAAUAAGAAUAAGAAGAAGUUGAGGUGAAGAGCAAGCAUAAAGAUAACAAGAUAAGAACCGGACCGGAAUCACUUCGAUUGCAUUUAUUUGAAGUUGUUGAUCGAAGAGCGAAGCUGGCUGCCAGGGACAUAGCGGAAGAACAAUCUGAUUCCAAGUCUCCAGGAAAACAAGAAGCGGUUAUUUUUCCUAGUUAAAUGAUUGUACCCGUGGGUUCAACGCUUUUGGUUCUUGAAGUGUGGUUACUACUUGGUGCUGUUUUUGUUGUCGUUUCUUUUUUUAGGUGUUUUAUUUUGAUAAUAUGACUUUGUGUUUUAGGAUUUAGAUUAAAUUACUCUUAGAUGGAAUGCAUGCAUUUACAAAUUUGGCUAUGCAAAUGCCCUCUUUUUUUUAAGCACAGUAAAUACUCUCUAUAUGUUAUGAUAUUUGUAAACAAGAGGAUUUGGUUUAAUAUGUUAUUUGGUAUUGAUGGAUCAUAAUAUGUAUGCAAUGAGUAACUUAAAGUGUUAUUUGGUAUUGAAUUAAAUGUAUAUUUUUGAUAUUUGCACACCAAUAGAAUGAUUUU
This is a long non-coding RNA of Vicia villosa (hairy vetch), 778 nucleotides long. RefSeq lists it as uncharacterized. The transcript has 3 exons. The record is from RefSeq and is a predicted model, not a curated record. NCBI's taxonomy places the organism in Eukaryota, Viridiplantae, Streptophyta, Magnoliopsida, Fabales, Fabaceae.